Molecule: ribosomal RNA, 499 nt
Filed under: uncultured bacterium
Lineage: Bacteria
Description: partial 16S ribosomal RNA
Rfam family: Bacterial small subunit ribosomal RNA
Source: RNAcentral
GGACGAACGCUGGCGGCGUGCCUAAUACAUGCAAGUCGAGCGGACGAAUCGAAAGCUUGCUUUUGAUUCGUUAGCGGCGGACGGGUGAGUAACACGUGGGCAACCUGCCCUGUAGACGGGGAUAACACCGAGAAAUCGGUGCUAAUACCGGAUAACACGAAAUGUCGCAUGACGUUUCGUUGAAAGACGGCGCAAGCUGUCGCUACAGGAUGGGCCCGCGGCGCAUUAGCUAGUUGGUGAGGUAACGGCUCACCAAGGCGACGAUGCGUAGCCGACCUGAGAGGGUGAUCGGCCACACUGGGACUGAGACACGGCCCAGACUCCUACGGGAGGCAGCAGUAAGGAAUCUUCCGCAAUGGACGAAAGUCUGACGGAGCAACGCCGCGUGAGCGAAGAAGGCCUUCGGGUCGUAAAGCUCUGUUGUUAGGGAAGAACAAGUAACGCAGUAACUGGCGUUACCGUGACGGUACCUAACGAGAAAGCCACGGCUAACUACGUG